UCGCCUUUUGAUUAUAUAUAAGGUUUAACCUGCCCACUGAAUAGUUAUUGAAGGGCCGCGGUAUUUUGACCGUGCAAAGGUAGCAUAAUCAUUAGUCUUUUAAUUAAAGGCUGGAAUGAAUGGUUGGACGAGGUGUUAACUGUCUCAUUUAAAUAUAUUAAAAUUUAACAUCUUAGUGAAAAGGCUGAGAUUAUAUUGGAGGACGAGAAGACCCUAUAGAGCUUGACAAGGAGUCCUAAAAAUUAUUUAGCAGUAUGUAAAUUUUUAUGUAUAACUUGUUUUGUUGGGGUGACAGGAAAAUAAAGAAACUUUUCUUAAUUUAAAUCACUGAUGAGUGAAUAGUAGAUCCAUUAAUAAUGAUUAUAAAAUUAAGUUACCUUAGGGAUAACAGCGUAAUCCUUCUUGAGAGUUCUAAUCGACAGAAGGGUUUGCGACCUCGAUGUUGGACUAAGGGAAAUUUUGGGUGUAGAUGUUCAAAGUUUAGGUCUGUUCGACCUUUAAAACCUUACAU
This 511-nucleotide ribosomal RNA is filed under the name Hexagenia sp. BYU IGCEP003. RNAcentral's name for it is "partial 16S ribosomal RNA". It matches the Rfam family "Bacterial large subunit ribosomal RNA", at positions 1831 to 2601 of the family's 2925-position model. The record is from RNAcentral. Lineage: Eukaryota; Metazoa; Arthropoda; Insecta; Ephemeroptera; Ephemeridae.